UGGGGAAUAUUGCACAAUGGAGGGAACUCUGAUGCAGCGACGCCGCGUGAGUGAUGAAGGACUUCGUUUCGUAAAACUCUGUUCUAUGGGAAGAAAAGGACUGUACCAUAGGAAAAAGCUCCGGCUAACUACGUGCCAGCAGCCGCGGUAAUACGUAUGGAGCGAGCGUUGUCCGGAAUCAUUGGGCGUAAAGGGUGCGCAGGCGGCUUUACAAGUUGGAUGUGAAAUAUUGUGGCUCAACCACAAACGUGCAUCCAAAACUGCAAAGCUUGAGUUAAGGAGAGGUAAGUGGAAUUCCUGGUGUAGCGGUGGAAUGCGUAGAUAUCAGGAGGAAUACCGGUGGCGAAGGCGACUUACUGGACUUAAACUGACGCUCAGGCACGAAAGCGUGGGGAGCAAACAGG
RNAcentral lists this ribosomal RNA (404 nucleotides) under Fusobacteriota bacterium. RNAcentral describes it as "Fusobacteria bacterium partial 16S ribosomal RNA". It matches the Rfam family "Bacterial small subunit ribosomal RNA", at positions 355 to 776 of the family's 1533-position model. The record is from RNAcentral. Lineage: Bacteria; Fusobacteriati; Fusobacteriota.